Molecule: transfer RNA, 58 nt
Filed under: Urocitellus parryii (Arctic ground squirrel)
Lineage: Eukaryota; Metazoa; Chordata; Mammalia; Rodentia; Sciuridae
Also listed under: 2 other names
Description: Spermophilus parryii (Arctic ground squirrel) tRNA
Rfam family: tRNA
About the family: Transfer RNA (tRNA) molecules are approximately 80 nucleotides in length. Their secondary structure includes four short double-helical elements and three loops (D, anti-codon, and T loops).
Source: Rfam by way of RNAcentral
UAACUCAGUUGGUAGAGUGCUUGCCUUGCAUGCAGAAGGCCCUGGGUUCAAUCCCCAG